Molecule: long non-coding RNA, 126 nt
Organism: Sphaeramia orbicularis (orbiculate cardinalfish)
Lineage: Eukaryota; Metazoa; Chordata; Actinopteri; Kurtiformes; Apogonidae
Exons: 3
Source: RefSeq, a predicted model, not a curated record
CUACAAUUAUUUUAAUAAUUACCGUAUUUUCCGCACUAUAAGGCGCACCUAAAAGCCUUCAAUUUUCUCAAAAGCCGACAGUGCGCCUUAGAACCCGGCGCGCCUUAUAUAUGGAUCAAUACUGAA